RNAcentral lists this ribosomal RNA (394 nucleotides) under uncultured bacterium. RNAcentral's name for it is "bacterial SSU rRNA". It matches the Rfam family "Bacterial small subunit ribosomal RNA", at positions 775 to 1174 of the family's 1533-position model. The record is from RNAcentral.
GGAUUAGAUACCCUGGUAGUCCACGCCCUAAACGAUGCUCACUAGGUGUUGGGGAAGCGAUUCCUUGGUACCGAAGCUAACGCGUGAAGUGAGCCGCCUGGGGAGUACGGCCGCAAGGUUAAAACUCAAAGGAAUUGACGGGGACCCGCACAAGCGGUGGAUGAUGUGGAUUAAUUCGAUGCAACGCGAACAACCUUACCUACCCUUGACAUGUCUGGAAGGCCCCUGAGAGGGGGCUGUGCCUGAAAGGGAACCGGAACACAGGUGCUGCAUGGCUGUCGUCAGCUCGUGUCGUGAGAUGUUGGGUUAAGUCCCGCAACGAGCGCAACCCUUGUCCCUAGUUGCUACGCAAGGGCACUCUAGGGAGACUGCCGGUGACAAACCGGAGGAAGGU